UGGAAUGUAGGUUUCUGUCCCUUGCAGGAACAGGCAUCGACGGCCACCAUCAUGGCUGCGAGAUUGGGGUGGCCACCGUGCUUCUAAAUUGGAUCCCGUUGUAAACAUACAUGGUUUCCGUACAAUGCAUCUGUCUUAGAUCAUAAAGGAUUAAACCACACGCCGCCAGGAUACGUUAACUCCAACCUCCACCAAGACCAUCUCCCAACAACAGCCCUUCGUCUCGUCCUGUCCCUGCUCCGGGCCACCCUACCCGCCACACACAAAAACCAGUCCUGCAGGUCGUACGAUGCCCAUUCACGGUAGCCAUUCCGCGCCGGUGCGUAGCUAGGGGCCCCGGCAUUCAUGAUCCUCAGGCUGAAGGGUUUUGGCCCGCAACACCCACUAAGCGGAAGUUGAACCACCUGGCCAGGUGCGACCAGAGUUGGCCAAGGCAGAUCGUAUGUCAAGGAGGGCAUGGAGCGGCACCAGCGGCAGUGGUGGCACUGGAAGCCGCCGGGGGACUGUGAUGUUGGGUUCUGAUCCCCAGUUGAGUGCGAGACGAAGUGGGUUCGAAGUGAGGGAAGGAGGGGGACGGAGGGCGCAAGGCCGUGGAGAUGGGAAGCUCGCACCGCUAACGUCAAUACGGCAAUCUACACGCCGAACGUCAAUGGCUGUUCCAGGAAGGAGGGAAUGUGGUCGGGGAAGGAAAGGGGCGUGGGGGAAUGAUGGAUGAAACUGUCGUGUGUCGUCUCAGCUUCCAUGGACUGGUUGGGGAGCUUUGGGACAACUGUACCUCUUCUUUUGCCUUCAGACAUCUUGCGCUAUAGGCCGCAACAACUUAUUACUCUCCCACUCCCUCCCUGCAUUCCUCCACCUCCCUUUCCGCAUCCCCUGCCUACGUACGCAUGAAGGGUAGGCCUCAACUAACCGGGGAAUCCGGCCUCAGCUGGCCAAUAAACCUGCUUUAUACUUUACCACUCGGCAGUGAAAACUCCCCCCCAGUGAAACCCCCAACUGCCAAUGCUCAACUGGCAGUGCUCCCUGCCGUCAGUCGUAAAGUACGGAUCCGAAUUUAGUGGCCAUAUGAAUCAUACCCAAAUCCGAAGCAUCCAGCACCUGACGGGGGCCCCUGGGUGGGGAGAGAGCUAACAGGGAAGGUUUGCAAGUGUAUGUAUGUAUGUAUGUAUGUAUGUAUGUAUGUAUGUAUGUAUGUAUGUAUGUAUGUAUGUAUGUAUGUAUGUAUGUAUGUAUGUAUGUAUGUAUGUAUGUAUGUAUGUAUGUAUGUAUGUAUGUAUGUAUGUAUGUAUGUAUGUAUGUAUGUAUGUAUGUAUGUAUGUAUGUAUGUUUU
This 1330-nucleotide long non-coding RNA is filed under the name Volvox carteri. Its description in RNAcentral is "long non-coding RNA (VCAR_LNC000445)". Lineage: Eukaryota; Viridiplantae; Chlorophyta; Chlorophyceae; Chlamydomonadales; Volvocaceae. The record is from RNAcentral.